AUUGAACGCUGGCGGCAGGCCUAACACAUGCAAGUCGAACGCGUGGCGGACGGGUGAGUAAUGUCUGGGAAACCGCCUGAUGGAGGGGGAUCACCACUGGAAACGGUAGCUAAUCCCCCAUACUCUCAGAAUCGCCCAGAUGGGAUUCUCUAGUUGGAGGGGUAACGGCUCACCAAGGCGAAGCUCCCUAGCUGGUCUGAGAGGAAGACCAGCCACACUGGGACUGAGAAACGGCCCAGACUCCUACGGGAGGCAGCAGUGGGGAAUAUUGCACAAUGGGCGCAAGCCGGAUGCAGCCAUGCCGCGUGUAUGAAGAAGGCCUUAGGGUUGUAAAGGACUUUCAGCGGGGAGGCGUUACCGGCAGAAGAAGCACCGGCUAACUCCGUGCCAGCAGCCGCGGUAAUAC
RNAcentral lists this ribosomal RNA (406 nucleotides) under uncultured bacterium. RNAcentral's name for it is "partial 16S ribosomal RNA". It matches the Rfam family "Bacterial small subunit ribosomal RNA", at positions 29 to 526 of the family's 1533-position model. The record is from RNAcentral.